This 301-nucleotide ribosomal RNA is filed under the name uncultured bacterium. Its description in RNAcentral is "partial 16S ribosomal RNA". It matches the Rfam family "Bacterial small subunit ribosomal RNA", at positions 509 to 807 of the family's 1533-position model. The record is from RNAcentral.
CAGCAGCCGCGGUAAUACAGAGGGUGCGAGCGUUAAUCGGAUUUACUGGGCGUAAAGCGUGCGUAGGCGGCUUCUUAAGUCGGAUGUGAAAUCCCUGAGCUUAACUUAGGAAUUGCAUUCGAUACUGGGAAGCUAGAGUAUGGGAGAGGAUGGUAGAAUUCCAGGUGUAGCGGUGAAAUGCGUAGAGAUCUGGAGGAAUACCGAUGGCGAAGGCAGCCAUCUGGCCUAAUACUGACGCUGAGGUACGAAAGCAUGGGGAGCAAACAGGAUUAAAGACCCCAGUAGUCCCUGUCUCUUAUAC